Long non-coding RNA from Zonotrichia leucophrys gambelii, 1555 nucleotides. RefSeq lists it as uncharacterized. The record is from RefSeq and is a predicted model, not a curated record. Lineage: Eukaryota; Metazoa; Chordata; Aves; Passeriformes; Passerellidae. The transcript has 3 exons.
AUUUCCCUGGGCAGGAGGGGGUUCCUCAGCACGGUGGUUUGGGGUUGUGGGCUAUGUGGGAAGCAGCUCCUCCGUUGCCACGAGUGGUUGCAGGAGUCACCCCAAAAAGAGAGUGUCGGCCCUGGUGAGCAGAGCACAGCAGGAGGGGCAGAGCACCCACAAAGCUUGAUGACAUCUGUCCUUGUCUGAAGGCUCGAUUACAUCAGGUGUUCUGAAAUGGUUUCCUGGUUGAUGCAGUCUCCAGAAAAACAAGCUCUGGACAUCAUGGCUUGUGUCCACCGUGCUUACCUGUCUCAUCUGAAAAGCAGGUCUACAUCUUUGCUGUUCUGAGGAUCCCAGAGCUGGAUGCAGUGCUCCAGGUGGGUCUCACAAGGGCAGAGUUGAGGGAUAGAAUCUCCUCUCUCAACCUGCUGGCCCCUCUCCUGAUGCAGCCCAGGACAGAGCUGCCCUCUCUGGGCUGUGAGUGCACACUGAUGUGUCUUGUAUUCCCUGCUCUCUUCAGUGCAUGUUUAUCAGGUCUCUGUACACUUAGUGUCACUUGGCACUGAGAAUGAAAGAAGAAAAUUACAGACAGAAAUUACAUUCCUAAUAGAUCAUGCUGUCUUCCUGAUCUUACCUUCACACACUGAUCUGAGCCUCUUUCUCCUCUUCAUGUUAGCUCUUCCCUGGGAUCAUUGUUUCCUUUGUUGAGCUUCCAGAAUAACCUGCUUGAAAACUCAGUUCUCUUGUGUUGUACGUGAAGCUGUACCAACACAUUUAUAUAAUCUGUCAGCUGAAACAAGGAACAAAAAUAGAAAUAGUCACGCAAUGUACUAGUCAUUCAUAAAAUGAACUGCACAGCUUUGCAGCAAGGCAUAGUAAAGAGAAGUUCCCUGGUGGGCUCUGGCUUAGCAGUUUUCCAGUUGCACUUCACUUGUGCAAAGAGCCCUGAGCACAGGUAGGGGCACGGCUGCAGAAGCCCAGCAGGCUGCUGUGCUGUGCUGUGCUGCCAGGGAGGGAAGCAGCAGCUGCCCUCCCAGCUUUAGCUUCUGCAGGGAAUUUUCUCUUUACCCCAAUUGCAUAAAUAACCAGGAGACCCAAUUCUAGCUGCUACAACUGACACACAUGUGGAUUUCCUCCAGGAAAACAGUCAAAUUCCUCUGUAAUCUAACAUGACUUUCCAACUACCAUAAGCAGCUUAUCUUUUUCUUCUGUGACAGUGUUUCUAAGUCAUAGGAUUUUGCAGAUGGAAUUUUAAGCCAUGAAGAAUAGAGCUAUCUGCACUGAGGUAGCUGGAACCAUUAUUUUGCCAAGUUUAUCAAAAGCCUUUGUUUUGCACAGAGUUCAGAUAAUAUUUUGGUAAAAUUAGGAGCCUGGAAGGGGAUGAAUCUGAAUGAGUUUUCUGAUGAUGCAUGUGUCUGCUAAUUAGGUAUUAUAGAGACCUUUGCUUGUAUUAAUUACAUUGGUGAAUGAGAACAGAUUAGUUCUGAUUCAAAUGCAUUACUGCUGCAAAGCCCAUCAGAGGGUACUGGUGGAGAACCAAUUGUGGAUCAUAAAUAAAAUGAGAGAACAUGAU